UACGGAAGGCAGCAGUGGGGAAUAUUGCACAAUGGGCGAAAGCCUGAUGCAGCUAUGCCGCGUGUAUGAAGAAGGCCUUAGGGUUGUAAAGUACUUUCAUCGGGGAGGAAAAAACAAAACUAAUAAUUUUAUUUCUUGACGUUACCCGAAAAAGAAGCACCGGCUAACUCCGUGCCAGCAGCCGCGGUAAUACGGAGGGUGCUAGCGUUAAUCAGAAUUACUGGGCGUAAAGAGCACGUAGGUGGUUUUUUUAAGUCAGAUGUGAAAUCCCUGGGCUUAACCUAGGAACUGCAUUUUGAAACUGAAAUACUAGAGUAUCGUAGAGGGAGGUAGAAUUCUAGGGUGUAGCGGUGAAAUGCGUAGAUAUCUGGAGGAAUACCUGUGGCGAAAGCGGCCUCCUAAACGAAUACUGACACUGAGGUGCGAAAAGCGUGGGGAGCAAAACAGGGAUUAGAUACC
This 459-nucleotide ribosomal RNA is filed under the name uncultured bacterium. RNAcentral describes it as "bacterial SSU rRNA". It matches the Rfam family "Bacterial small subunit ribosomal RNA", at positions 340 to 786 of the family's 1533-position model. The record is from RNAcentral.